This 428-nucleotide ribosomal RNA is filed under the name uncultured bacterium. RNAcentral describes it as "bacterial SSU rRNA". It matches the Rfam family "Bacterial small subunit ribosomal RNA", at positions 355 to 775 of the family's 1533-position model. The record is from RNAcentral.
UGGGGAAUCUUGCGCAAUGGGCGAAAGCCUGACGCAGCGACGCCGCGUGGGGGAAGAAGGCCUUCGGGUUGUAAACCUCUUUCAGGAGGGACGAAGCUCACUGGGUUAAUAGCCCUGUGGAGUGACGGUACCUUCAGAAGAAGCCCCGGCUAACUACGUGCCAGCAGCCGCGGUAAUACGUAGGGGGCAAGCGUUGUCCGGAUUUAUUGGGCGUAAAGCGCGUGUAGGCGGCCAGGUAGGUCCGUUGUGAAAACUCGGGGCUCAACCCCGAGAUGUCGAUGGAAACCCUCUGGCUAGAGUCCGGAAGAGGAGAGUGGAAUUCCCGGUGUAGCGGUGAAAUGCGCAGAUAUCGGGAAGAACACCCGUGGCGAAGGCGGCUCUCUGGGACGGUACUGACGCUGAGACGCGAAAGCGUGGGGAGCGAACAG